This 585-nucleotide long non-coding RNA is filed under the name Setaria viridis. Its description in RNAcentral is "long non-coding RNA (SVIR_LNC005827)". The record is from RNAcentral. Lineage: Eukaryota; Viridiplantae; Streptophyta; Magnoliopsida; Poales; Poaceae.
GGACCUAUUAGCCUUCCUUAUUUAGCGAAUCUGGCUCGCGCAUCGAGGGUACGAGUAAAUGAUCGAUUUGUUAACUGGAUCAGAAGGUAUUAUGAGGGCUUUUGUUGGAUGGUCUGAAAGUUAUAUAAACACUCUUUGUGGGAUAAGUUUUGAAGGCUAAAUGAAUAGUCUUUUUGGGAUGGAGGGAGUAGAUAUUAUUAUGUACCUAGAUAUACACUAUGUGAUAUAGAUCUAUGAACUAAAAAACUAAGACGACUUACAAUUUCAAACGGAGGGAGCAUGUCCCAUUGACCGUGCGGCAAAGUUUGCCGCGCAAAAUGACAUUUCGAUUGAGCAAGGACCUCUAGUUCACUGCAAAUUUGAAUCAACAGCUAUCCUAAAAAGGUGCCAAGUUUUGUGGAAUGAACAAUCACACGUUUCUAUGAACGCUACUAUUUUUCUUACAAGAUCUGAACCAUACUGGUGCCUAACCUUUCAUAUCUCGAUGUAUAUUUGGACUGUACAACGCAGAGAAUUACAGGGGUACGUGUUUGUAGAGGUCAGCUGAGUCCGACGAAUUUUGGUAGAAUCAAACCUAAAUUAGUG